RNAcentral lists this ribosomal RNA (471 nucleotides) under uncultured bacterium. Its description in RNAcentral is "partial 16S ribosomal RNA". It matches the Rfam family "Bacterial small subunit ribosomal RNA", at positions 30 to 507 of the family's 1533-position model. The record is from RNAcentral.
UGAACGCUAGCGGCAGGCCUAAUACAUGCAAGUCGAACGGGCGGUAGCAAUACCGCUAGUGGCGCACGGGUGCGUAACGCGUAACCAACCUGCCCAGAUCUGGGGGAUAGCCCGCCGAAAGGCGGAUUAAUACCGCAUAAACCCACAGUGUGGCAUCACAUAAUGGGUAAAGAUUUAUCGGAUCUGGAUGGGGUUGCGUAGCAUUAGCUAGUUGGCGGGGUAAUGGCCCACCAAGGCGACGAUGCUUAGGGGACCUGAGAGGGUGAUCCCCCACACUGGCACUGAGAUACGGGCCAGACUCCUACGGGAGGCAGCAGUAGGGAAUAUUGGGCAAUGGGCGAGAGCCUGACCCAGCCAUGCCGCGUGCCGGAUGAAGGCCUUCUGGGUUGUAAACGGCUUUUCUCAGGGAAGAAAACGGGGAUGCGUCCUCAACUGACGGUACCUGAGGAAUAAGCACCGGCUAACUCCGUG